GCCUGGAUAGCUCAGAUGGUAGAGCACAUCCUUGGUAAGGAUGAGGUGAUGGGUUCAAUUCCCAUUCCAGGCU
Molecule: transfer RNA, 73 nt
Filed under: Candidatus Omnitrophota bacterium
Lineage: Bacteria; Pseudomonadati; Candidatus Omnitrophota
Description: tRNA-Thr
Rfam family: tRNA
About the family: Transfer RNA (tRNA) molecules are approximately 80 nucleotides in length. Their secondary structure includes four short double-helical elements and three loops (D, anti-codon, and T loops). Further hydrogen bonds mediate the characteristic L-shaped molecular structure. tRNAs have two regions of fundamental functional importance: the anti-codon, which is responsible for specific mRNA codon recognition, and the 3' end, to which the tRNAs corresponding amino acid is attached (by aminoacyl-tRNA synthetases). tRNAs cope with the degeneracy of the genetic code in two manners: having more than one tRNA (with a specific anti-codon) for a particular amino acid; and 'wobble' base-pairing, i.e. permitting non-standard base-pairing at the 3rd anti-codon position.
Source: RNAcentral